GAUCAUCUAGCGUGUCUCCACCGGACUCAGCCAUGGUGGCGUCUCCAUCCAGCUCAGCCGUGGUGCCUCCACCCGGCUCGGCCACGGCAUCGUCUCCACCUGGCUCAGCCACAGUGCCUCCGUCCGGCUCAACCACGGCAUCAUCUCCAUCUGGCUCAACCACAGCAUCGUCUCCACCCGGCUCAUCCACGGUGCCUCCAUCCGGCUCAACCACAGCAUCGUCUCCACCCGGCUCAUCCACGGUGCCUCCAUCCGGCUCGGCCGUGGCACCUGCCCCAUCUUCGCCUGGGCACCCCGAGUCCGCUCCUGCGCCAGGCUCUCCCCCGCCAGCCGUGAGCCGCAGCCCCGAGGACACCUCGGCCGACCCGGCCGGCAGCUCGGCCUCAGCAUUGCACCCGGCAGCGGGGACCAUGGCCACCGAAGUGCAGCCCCCCGCCAAGACGAACCCCGGCCUCAUCGUCGUCGUCUGCCUCUUCGUGGCGGUGCUGGCGGCGGGAGCGGCGGUGCUGCUGGUGCGGCUGUGCCGGCGCGGGCGCCCCCGGUUCAGGCGCCUGGACGAGGUGCCCCUGGGCAAGGUGACGGAAGGGUCCCCCUUCGCUCGCUACCCGCCCAGGUGACCCGGCGGCUCCCGGGAGCCCGGCCCCGGCGCGGCCACGCUGGACGGGGCCGUCCCCGCGGUGCCGUGGGGCUGCCCGCGCCGCUGAAUAAAGCAGCUGCCAGUUUGGCCGAUUCUCCCCGU
RNAcentral lists this long non-coding RNA (739 nucleotides) under Apteryx owenii (little spotted kiwi). RNAcentral's name for it is "lncRNA (ENSAOWG00000013957.1)". The record is from RNAcentral. Lineage: Eukaryota; Metazoa; Chordata; Aves; Apterygiformes; Apterygidae.